This 446-nucleotide ribosomal RNA is filed under the name uncultured bacterium. RNAcentral's name for it is "partial 16S ribosomal RNA". It matches the Rfam family "Bacterial small subunit ribosomal RNA", at positions 338 to 795 of the family's 1533-position model. The record is from RNAcentral.
CCUACGGGAGGCAGCAGUCGAGAAUCAUUCACAAUGGGGGAAACCCUGAUGGUGCGACGCCGCGUGGGGGAAUGAAGGUCUUGGGAUUGUAAACCCCUGUCAUGUGGGAGCAAAUUAAAAAGAUAGUACCACAAGAGGAAGAGACGGCUAACUCUGUGCCAGCAGCCGCGGUAAUACAGAGGUCUCAAGCGGUGUUCGGAAUCACUGGGCGUAAAGCGUGCGUAGGCGGUUGCGUAAGACGUGUGUGAAAGGCGCGGGCGUAACCCGCGGACGGCACAUGAUACUGCGAGACUAGAGUAAUGGAGGGGGAACCGGAAUUCUAGGUGUAGCAGUGAAAUGCGUAGAUAUCGAGAGGAACACUCGUGGCGAAGGCGGGUUCCUGGACAUUAACUGACGCUGAGGCACGAAGGCCAGGGGAGCGAAAGGGAUUAGAUACCCCAGUAGUC